CGGGUUGGACGGAACAAAAGGAGCACUUCCACUCUGUGUAAUGCACAGGACGCUGCAAUAAGCUAACAGCCAAAUAAAUCACCAGCAGCAGGAGCAACGUGAUGUAUGACUGAAAACCCCGAGGUUUAAUAAAGCUCAGCAGGAAAACAGAGAGGGGGGAGGGUGACGUGAAGGAGCAUGAAUCCACGCAAUUAAAAGUUGAAACCACACGAAGACGUGUCACAGCUUCAGGACGACGAAGGCGAUCGGACCCGAGCUGCUGACAACAUGUACCACAACAUGACAGCAGAACCACAGAACCAGCGCCGCCAUCCCUCCACGUCCGCAGCUCCGGCUCCGACGCACCGGGGCGGGCGCCGCUCGCAGCCGGACUCACCGUGCAGUUGGCCGGCUUGCUCUGGAGGCUCUGCAGGGUCGGGCUGAGCCAGCAGAAGCCCAGGAUGAAGAGGCUGAGGAUCCCGCAGGCGAUCAGGAACAAGCCCAGUCUGAUGCUCUUGUCCUCGGCCUCGGAGUACUCGUACGACACCCGGAUCUUCGCCAUGGCAGACCCGCGGAGACCUCCGCCGGCAUGGAGGAGAGGAGGAGGAAGAGGAGGAUGGAAGGAUGGAGGAGAGACAGAGACAGAAGCGGAGAGAGACUGGGAGCGGGAGAGGGAGAGAGAGAGAGAAAAGGCAGAGAGAGAGAGAGAGAGAGAUUGAGAAAGAGAGGGAGCGGGAGAGACUGAGUGGGUGAGUGAGGGAGAGAGAGAGAGAUGGAGGCAGAGAGAGAGAGGGAGAGAGAGAGAGAUGGAGGCAGAGAGAGAGAGAGAGAGAGAGGGAGCGGGAGAGACUGAGUGGGUGAAUGAGGGAGAGAGAGAGAGGCAGAGAGAGAGAGAGAGAGAUUGAGAAAGAGAGGGAGCGGGAGAGACUGAGUGGGUGAAUGAGGGAGAGAGAGAGAGGCAGAGAGAGAGAGAGAGAGAGAGAGAUGGAGGCAGAGAGAGAGAGAGGAGACCUGUUCUGACCUGUUUUCAUCCACGUCUUUAUUCUCUGUUUCCUGCUCGUUUUCUCUCAUCUGUUUUAAUCCUGAACAAUCAGAACCUUCAGUGUUAAACAGUCAUUUCAGCGACUGCUGGUACGUUUCAACAGGAGGAGUAGUCCUCAUCUCUGACAAUGAAUGUAAAUACUUUAAUUGUAUUAAACACUCAGUCACAUCGGUUAAAAACAAGAAAGAAUCAAAUCAAAGUUUGUGACGAUGAUGAUGAUGAUGAAAGUGGAAAUGUGGAGAAAAAAGAGCCAAACGUGAGACAAAAAUCUUGAUAAACAUAAAUUGAGGCAAGAAUCAGAAAUUAAAAUGAAAACAAUAAUCACACACAAACAUCUUUAACAUUUAAUCAUAACAACAACAGCAGGAAGCCCAUAAUGUUGUUUGUUUAUCCACUCAGCAGAUGUUUACAUACAAAAACCAGGAUCUAUCGUUUGGGGACCAUAAAAUGGGAAAAAAUGUUUUAUGAUCUAUCUAAAAGUAGUUUUUCUGAAACAUUAGCUGCCUCGUGAGAUGAGGUAAACCAGCAGGAACAAACCAAAGCACUCAUGUGGUUUCCUUCAGCCUCGCUGUGCUGUGUAAAAACAAACCUCCGUCCCUCGUCCUUCAGUUAAGAAGCUUAUCUCAUUCUGCAUGUGAGAGAAGCAUGAGCAGCCACCGGCCAAAUAAAACACAAAUCUGGGCUGAACCACGAGGUUCACCGGGGCGAUCGAACAGCACUCAACCCGUAGAGAGAGAGAGAGAUGUACAGUAACACCGCAGCACACGGCCCAAAUUAAGAACCCAGUUCUUUGUAUUGUCAGAAUGAUGUGGUCCAGUGUCAUCUACGGUCGACACCCGGAGCUCAUGACCCACGGGCCCUGACCGAGCAGCGAGCACGUUUCCCAUCUUCAGAAUCAGCAGGAGUCUGCCACUUGUUGGAUGGGUCUAAUCGCAGUGAAAGAUGCAGCCAAGCGUCCGAAACGGCCUCCGAGGACCAAGCGAUCAAUGGUGAGACGGAGCCGCAUCGAUCCCGGUCCACCUGAGCCGGUAGAAGAGUCCGGCAAGCGGGAGCAAGGAACUUGUUGAGAAAUCUAACAACACAAAAGCUGGUCUCUGCUGACUCCUUGGUGCUAAAUGGCGCCCUGUCUGGGUUUGUGCUGAGAUGAGACCACAUCUCAUCUAGCUCCAACAAACGUGAUAAUGUGUGAAGGGUUAUUAGUAAUAAACCAGCUUCUGUAUGUGUAGAAUGUGCUGAA
Molecule: long non-coding RNA, 2258 nt
Organism: Betta splendens (Siamese fighting fish)
Lineage: Eukaryota; Metazoa; Chordata; Actinopteri; Anabantiformes; Osphronemidae
Exons: 4
Source: RefSeq, a predicted model, not a curated record